RNAcentral lists this long non-coding RNA (641 nucleotides) under Homo sapiens (human). RNAcentral's name for it is "non-protein coding LINC01703:18". The record is from RNAcentral. Lineage: Eukaryota; Metazoa; Chordata; Mammalia; Primates; Hominidae.
CUCCCCCGCCGUUCCCUCCCGGGCUGCCUGCAGUGAGGUCCGCUCCUGAGGCCUCAGCCUCGCCGGGGGUAGGGCCCUCUCCCGCCGUCGCCGCAGCUCCUUUCCGUCCCGGGGCCUGGGGGGCACCGUCCCACGGGUGGGAAAACAAAUCGGGUGAUCCGCCCACCUCGGCCUCCCAAAGUGCUGGAAUUACAGGCAUGAACCACGGUGCCCGGCUGACACAAGGAACUUUCUAUGAGGUCCUAGGAAUGAAGGAAAACAGGCAAUAAGGCAAGAAUCGCUGUCGAAGGAGUCUGCGCCACCUGCUCGCACAGCUCACUUGUGCCUUCUGAGCCUGCUGGAGCCCAGUGUACAUAUGCCGUCUCCGCGUGAUUAGAGAUUGCUGCUGCACGUGCCCAAUCCCGUGGCGGGGCUGGAACACAAACGGGGUGGUGUUCCAGCUGCAACCAUGCAGAUGAAGACUAUACCCUAGGAGAUGGAGGAACAACAGACAAGAAAGAAACCUGGGUUCCUGAAUAACCACGUGGAGCCAAGCAGCUUACUUAUCUCAAGCCACUGUUGCCCACCUCCAGAUUGAACUGUCUGCAAACAAAUCUUUACUUGAUGAGAAGUUUAAAUAUAAUUAAAUCUAGAAUAUUACA